RNAcentral lists this ribosomal RNA (449 nucleotides) under uncultured bacterium. Its description in RNAcentral is "partial 16S ribosomal RNA". It matches the Rfam family "Bacterial small subunit ribosomal RNA", at positions 29 to 523 of the family's 1533-position model. The record is from RNAcentral.
AACGAACGCUGGCGGCAGGCUUAACACAUGCAAGUCGAACGCAUCCUUCGGGGUGAGUGGCAGACGAGUGAGUAACGCGUGGGAACGUGCCCUUCAGUUCGGGAUAACCCAGGGAAACUUGGGCUAAUACCGGAUACGUGCGAGAGCACAAAGAUUUAUCGCUGAAGGAUCGGGCCGCGUCUGAUUAGCUAGUUGGUGGGGUAAUGGCCCACCAAGGCGACGAUCAGUAGCUGGGCUGAGAGGAUGAUCAGCCACAUUGGGACUGAGACACGGCCCAAACUCCUACGGGAGGCAGCAGUGGGGAAUAUUGGACAAUGGGCGCAAGCCUGAUCCAGCCAUGCCGCGUGAGUGAUGAAGGCCUUAGGGUUGUAAAGCUCUUUCGUCCGGGACGAUAAUGACGGUACCGGAAGAAGAAGCCCCGGCUAACUUCGUGCCAGCCGCCGCCGUAA